CCCUACACUGCACCGAUUUCAACAGAAAUUUCGUGAACACUACUGACCGGCUCACGAAAAGGUUCUUACAUUUUACAAAAAAAGGUUAUGCUUUUAAUCCUGUUGAAUGUUGCUAACCUCCCCAUAUCUAAAGGUAAAACACGUUGCUCUCAUACAGUCUCUCUGAAACAGUCCGUGGGAUGGGAAACUAUAUUUCUGUGUCCGCCGAGAAAUAGAAACUAAUAUAGAAAACAAAAAUGCAUGGCCAUUUCAUCGACGGCAGACUAUACGAACCAUCUGGAGGUUGUCUCAACACCUGAGGCGAGCCAGAGCCGGGCACGAUGGUUGCAGCGGACUGUGACAACCUAAAGUGACAAGGAUGGGUGCUAAACUCCGCGAACGAGGCUGCGCGCUUCCAUGCUCCACAUGCACGCCAUACAAGGACCCUAGUGAGAUUUCUUCCCUUUGCUUUUUCUUUGCUUCUCUUUUCUGUUCGUUUAAUCCCCGUGGUUCUUAAUGCCAUGAAAAAUUUGUGUUGCACACGACGCGAAAGCAAGGAAAAUGGACAAACUUGCAUUUGAGGUCCAUGGGUGUUCCUGCAUAUUGCUCAAAACGGAAAUUAUAGAGCCUCGUUGGCCAGAACCGCUGAAAACCCCUAACCGCCGUAUCAAAGGAGCUUCACGGGCCUCACCAAUUUAUGGACAAGUUCCGAUGCAAAUGUGGAUGUAACCAGAUCCCGGUUAUAUUUAGAAGUUAGAGCAAAAGCUUCGAAAUAAUGAACACCUAAUGUCUCAUGGGCCAUAUGAAGCCGCUAUUUUUCCUUCUUCUUUCCUUUAAACAAGAAGCUAAGGUUUUAUUUCGCGUUCCUUGAAACGCGCUUAUGAUAUGCAAAAAAACAUCAAAAAAAAAUCAAAAAUCAAAAAUCAAUGGCAUCCACCAGGCUUAGUGGGGAGGGGGGCCCGGGCCGUGCAUGCAGCUUCGGCAACGACCUUUCACAAUGGCCUUGACGGAUAGCUAAGAGGAAAUUAUGGAGC
This 1013-nucleotide small RNA is filed under the name Histoplasma capsulatum. RNAcentral's name for it is "hypothetical RNA". Lineage: Eukaryota; Fungi; Ascomycota; Eurotiomycetes; Onygenales; Ajellomycetaceae. RNAcentral also lists the same sequence under 1 other name. The record is from RNAcentral.